AAAUUGUUGAAAGGGAAGCACUUGUGACCAGACUUGGGCCGGGCGGCUCAUCAGGGGUUCUCCCCUGUGCACUCCGCCCGGCACAGGCCAGCAUCGGUUCUCGUGGGGGGAUAAGACCGUCGGGAACGUAGCACCCUCCGGGGUGUGUUAUAGCCCGGCGGACGAUACCCCCGUGGGGACCGAGGUUCGCGCUCCGCAAGGAUGCUGGCGUAAUGGUUACCAGUGACCCGUCUUGAAACACGGACCAAGGAGUCGUCCAUUAGAGCGAGCGUUUGGGUGUAAAACCCGCACGCGUAAUGAAAGUGAACGCAGGUGAGAGCUUCGGCGCAUCAUCGACCGAUCCUGAUGUUCUCGGAAGGAUUUGAGUAAGAGUUUUAACGGACGGACCCGAAAGACAGUGAACUAUGCUUGUAUAGGGUGAAGCCAGAGGAAACUCUGGUGGAGGCUCGCAGCGGUUCUGACGUGCAAAUCGAU
This 474-nucleotide ribosomal RNA is filed under the name Cytospora sp. Its description in RNAcentral is "partial large subunit ribosomal RNA". It matches the Rfam family "Eukaryotic large subunit ribosomal RNA", at positions 402 to 902 of the family's 3401-position model. The record is from RNAcentral. Lineage: Eukaryota; Fungi; Ascomycota; Sordariomycetes; Diaporthales; Cytosporaceae.